GUGCUCACUUCGGCAGUACAUAUACUAAAAGUGGAAUGAUACAGAGGAGAUUCGCAUGGCCCCUGCGCAAGGAUGAUACACAAAUUCGUGAAGCGUUCCACAUUUUU
Molecule: small nuclear RNA, 107 nt
Filed under: Tursiops truncatus (common bottlenose dolphin)
Lineage: Eukaryota; Metazoa; Chordata; Mammalia; Artiodactyla; Delphinidae
Source: RNAcentral